This 457-nucleotide ribosomal RNA is filed under the name uncultured bacterium. RNAcentral describes it as "partial 16S ribosomal RNA". It matches the Rfam family "Bacterial small subunit ribosomal RNA", at positions 338 to 795 of the family's 1533-position model. The record is from RNAcentral.
CCUACGGGAGACAGCAGUGGGGAAUAUUGCACAAUGGGGGAAACCCUGAUGCAGCGACGCCGCGUGAGUGAAGAAGUACUUCGUUACGUAAAGCUCUAUCAGCAGGGAAGAAACACUGACCUUACGGUCAGCAGACGGUACCUGAGUAAGAAGCCCCGGCUAACUACGUGCCAGCAGCCGCGGUAAUACGUAGGGGGCAAGCGUUAUCCGGAUUUAUGGGGUUGAAGGGGUGCGUAGGCGGAAUAUCAAGUCAGCGGUAAAAAUGCGGGGCUCAACCCCGUCGUGCCGUUGAAACUGAGGUUCUUGAGUGGGCGAGAAGUAUGCGGAAUGCGUGGUGUAGCGGUGAAAUGCAUAGAUAUCACGCAGAACUCCGAUUGCGAAGGCAGCAUACCGGCGCCCAACUGACGCUGAAGCACGAAAGCGUGGGUAUCGAACAGGAUUAGAUACCCCUGUAGUC